Molecule: ribosomal RNA, 354 nt
Filed under: bacterium LimB-1-A-238
Lineage: Bacteria
Description: bacterial SSU rRNA
Rfam family: Bacterial small subunit ribosomal RNA
Source: RNAcentral
GACCUGAGAGGGUGAUGGGCCACACUGGGACUGAGACACGGCCCAGACUCUUACGGGAGGCAGCAGUAGGGAAUCUUCCGCAAUGGACGAAAGUCUGACGGAGCAACGCCGCGUGAGUGAUGAAGGUUUUCGGAUCGUAAAGCUCUGUUGUUAGGGAAGAACAAGUGCGAGAGUAACUGCUCGGCACCUUGACGGUACCUAACCAGAAAGCCACGGCUAACUACGUGCCAGCAGCCGCGGUAAUACGUAGGUGGCAAGCGUUGUCCGGAAUUAUUGGGCGUAAAGGGCUCGCAGGCGGUUUCUUAAGUCUGAUGUGAAAGCCCCCGGCUCAACCGGGGAGGGUCAUUGGAAACU